GAUGAACGCUGGCGGCGUGCCUAAUACAUGCAAGUAGAACGCUGAAGCUUGGUGCUUGCACCGAGCGGGUUAGUUGCGAACGGGUGAGUAACGCGUAGGUAACCUGCCUCUUAGCGGGGGAUAACUAUUGGAAACGAUAGCUAAUACCGCAUAAAAGUCGAUAUCGCAUGAUAUUGAUGUGAAAGGUGCAAAUGCAUCACUAAGAGAUUGACCUGCGUUGUAUUAGCUAGUUGGUGAGGUAACGGCUCACCAAGGCGACGAUACAUAACCGACCUGAGAGGGUGAUCGGCCAACCCUGGACUGAGACACCGCCCCGAACCCCUAGGGAGGCAGCCGUAGGGAAUCUUCGGCAAUGGGGGCAAACCUGAACGAGCCAAGCCGCGGGAGUGAAGAAGGGUUUCGGAUCGUAAAGCUCUGUUGUAAGAGAAGAAAGAGUGUGAGAGUGGACAGUUCACAUUGUGACGGUAACUUAUCAGAAAGGGACGGCUAACUACGUG
Molecule: ribosomal RNA, 497 nt
Filed under: uncultured bacterium
Lineage: Bacteria
Description: partial 16S ribosomal RNA
Rfam family: Bacterial small subunit ribosomal RNA
Source: RNAcentral